This 460-nucleotide ribosomal RNA is filed under the name uncultured bacterium. RNAcentral's name for it is "partial 16S ribosomal RNA". It matches the Rfam family "Bacterial small subunit ribosomal RNA", at positions 338 to 795 of the family's 1533-position model. The record is from RNAcentral.
CCUACGGGUGGCCGCAGUGAGGAAUAUUGGUCAAUGGACGAGAGUCUGAACCAGCCAAGUAGCGUGAAGGAUGACUGCCCUAUGGGUUGUAAACUUCUUUUAUAUGGGAAUAAAAUGUUCCACGUGUGGGAUUUUGUAUGUACCAUAUGAAUAAGGAUCGGCUAACUACGUGCCAGCAGCCGCGGUAAUACGGAGGAUCCGAGCGUUAUCCGGAUUUAUUGGGUUUAAAGGGAGCGUAGGUGGAUUGUUAAGUCAGUUGUGAAAGUUUGCGGCUCAACCGUAAAAUUGCAGUUGAAACUGGCAGUCUUGAGUACAGUAGAGGUGGGCGGAAUUCGUGGUGUAGCGGUGAAAUGCUUAGAUAUCACGAAGAACUCCGAUUGCGAAGGCAGUUCACUGGACUGCAACUGACACUGAGGCUCGAAAGUGUGGGUAUCAAACAGGAGUAGAUACCCGUGUAGUC